RNAcentral lists this ribosomal RNA (468 nucleotides) under uncultured bacterium. Its description in RNAcentral is "partial 16S ribosomal RNA". It matches the Rfam family "Bacterial small subunit ribosomal RNA", at positions 28 to 507 of the family's 1533-position model. The record is from RNAcentral.
GACGAACGCUGGCGGCGUGCUUAACACAUGCAAGUCGAACGGAAAGGCCCUGGUUUUGUGGGGUGCUCGAGUGGCGAACGGGUGAGUAACACGUGAGUAACCUGCCCUUGACUUUGGGAUAACUUCAGGAAACUGGGGCUAAUACCGGAUAGGAGCUCCUGCUGCAUGGUGGGGGUUGGAAAGUUUCGGCGGUUGGGGAUGGACGCGCGGCUUUUCAGCUUGUUGGUGGGGGAGUGGCUGACCAAGGAUUUGACGGGUAGCCGGCCUGAGAGGGUGACCGGCCACAUUGGGACUGAGAUACGGCCCAGACUCCUACGGGAGGAAGCAGUGGGGAAUAUUGCAGAAUGGGCGGAAGACUGAUGCAGCAACGCCGCGUGCGGGAUGACGGCAUUCGGGUUGUAAACCGCUUUCGCCUGUGACGAAGCGUGAGUGACGGUAAUGGGUAAAGAAGCACCGGCUAACUACGUG